This 253-nucleotide ribosomal RNA is filed under the name uncultured bacterium. RNAcentral describes it as "partial 16S ribosomal RNA". It matches the Rfam family "Bacterial small subunit ribosomal RNA", at positions 524 to 776 of the family's 1533-position model. The record is from RNAcentral.
UACGUAGGGGGCUAGCGUUGUUCGGAAUCAUUGGGCGUAAAGAGCGUGUAGGCGGCCCGGUAAGUCCGCUGUGAAAGUCGGGGGCUCAACCCUCGAAUGCCGGUGGAUACUGCCGGGCUAGAGUGCGGAAGAGGCGAGUGGAAUUCCUGGUGUAGCGGUGAAAUGCGCAGAUAUCAGGAGGAACACCAAAUGCGAAGGCAGCUCGCUGGGACGUAACUGACGCUGAGACGCGAAAGCGUGGGGAGCAAACAGG